Molecule: ribosomal RNA, 492 nt
Filed under: uncultured bacterium
Lineage: Bacteria
Description: bacterial SSU rRNA
Rfam family: Bacterial small subunit ribosomal RNA
Source: RNAcentral
AUUGAACGCUGGCGGCAUGCCUUACACAUGCAAGUCGAACGGUAACAGGUCUUCGGAUGCUGACGAGUGGCGAACGGGUGAGUAAUACAUCGGAACGUGCCCGAGAGUGGGGGAUAACGCAGCGAAAGCUGUGCUAAUACCGCAUACGAUCUACGGAUGAAAGCAGGGGAUUCGCAAGGACCUUGCGCUCAUGGAGCGGCCGAUGGCAGAUUAGGUAGUUGGUGGGAUAAAAGCUUACCAAGCCGACGAUCUGUAGCUGGUCUGAGAGGACGACCAGCCACACUGGGACUGAGACACGGCCCAGACUCCUACGGGAGGCAGCAGUGGGGAAUUUUGGACAAUGGGGGAAACCCUGAUCCAGCCAUGCCGCGUGCAGGAUGAAGGCCUUCGGUUGUAACUAGCUUUGUACGAACGAAAGGUACUUUACUUAAUAAAGAAGGACUCAUGACGGUACCGUAAGAAUAAGACACCGGCUAACUACGUGCCAGCACG